AUGGAUGGGAGCUUGCUCCCUGAAGUUAGCGGCGGACGGGUGAGUAACACGUGGGCAACCUGCCUGUAAGACUGGGAUAACUUCGGGAAACCGGAGCUAAUACCGGAUACGUUCUUUCCUCGCAUGAGGAAAGAUGGAAAGACGGUUUCGGCUGUCACUUACAGAUGGGCCCGCGGCGCAUUAGCUAGUUGGUGAGGUAAUGGCUCACCAAGGCCACGAUGCGUAGCCGACCUGAGAGGGUGAUCGGCCACACUGGGACUGAGACACGGCCCAGACUCCUACGGGAGGCAGCAGUAGGGAAUCUUCCGCAAUGGACGAAAGUCUGACGGAGCAACGCCGCGUGAGCGAAGAAGGCCUUCGGGUCGUAAAGCUCUGUUGUUAGGGAAGAACAAGUGCCAGAGUAACUGCUGGCACCUUGACGGUACCUAACCAGAAAGCCACGGCUAACUACGUGCCAGCAGCCGCGGUAAUACGUAGGUGGCAAGCGUUGUCCGGAAUUAUUGGGCGUAAAGCGCGCGCAGGUGGUUCCUUAAGUCUGAUGUGAAAGCCCACGGCUCAACCGUGGAGGGUCAUUGGAAACUGGGGGACUUGAGUGCAGAAGAGGAAAGUGGAAUUCCAAGUGUAGCGGUGAAAUGCGUAGAGAUUUGGAGGAACACCAGUGGCGAAGGCGACUUUCUGGUCUGUAACUGACACUGAGGCGCGAAAGCGUGGGGAGCGAACAGGAUUAGAUACCCUGGUAGUCCACGCCGUAA
This 752-nucleotide ribosomal RNA is filed under the name Bacillus sp. (in: firmicutes). RNAcentral's name for it is "bacterial SSU rRNA". It matches the Rfam family "Bacterial small subunit ribosomal RNA", at positions 69 to 805 of the family's 1533-position model. The record is from RNAcentral. Lineage: Bacteria; Bacillati; Bacillota; Bacilli; Caryophanales; Bacillaceae.